AUCUAUGAUCAUGCUACCCUGACCAUGACUGACCUUGUCUGAUCUUGGAAGCCAAGGAGGGCAGGUCUGGCUAGUACCUAGACAGGGAAAGUGAAUGAAAUAAACAAAGAAGGUAUGUGUU
RNAcentral lists this ribosomal RNA (121 nucleotides) under Erinaceus europaeus (western European hedgehog). The record is from RNAcentral. Lineage: Eukaryota; Metazoa; Chordata; Mammalia; Eulipotyphla; Erinaceidae.